AUGUAUGCUUACGUCAAAUAUGAGCUCGAUGGGGAGACGGCAUCUGUGCCCCUUGCCUUCAUCAAGAACUUUUCCUCCGAAACAUUCCAGCCCGGAAUAUCCAAAUUUCGGGUAUUCUGGAGCUCUGAAAAUGAAGAGACGCCACAGGACGUGGAGAGGAGAAAAGGCAAAGUAGCCGACAUAGAUGGAUUCAAGGAUACCUCCAAAGAACCGGAGGCGGGUUAUUAUAUGGCGACAGUCCUCCGUGUUGCCGAUUCAAUUGAACAGUUACAAGGGAAGAGAAUCGCUUUUCGUUCAGCCAAAGUCCGUGAAAAUACUGAUUCCAAGAAAAGGUCCAGCAAAAACAGUAAGACCAACAAGAAGUCUUCUACGCAAUACGUGUCCAAGGUAUUUAUAUUUCAGUGAUAAUAGUUUGAAAAGACGUAGAAGUAAUGAUGUAGUAUUACUGUUGUAGUAGUCUUAGUAGUAGUAGUAGUAGUAGUAGUUGUUGAAAGAGGACUGGUGCUGAAGUCUUCCAUCUAGACAACACUAGUCACCUAAAUCAGUUUGAAUCUUCUUGUGUGAUGAACACAGGUAAAUUUUCUUUCCAUUCUUACGUACAGCUUUAGUAUCAAAUCAGCUGAAGUGCAAGGGAGAAAUAAGAUAAAAGAUGCACACCACUAUAAAUGCAUGAUGUGAUAAUUGGACCGCGUUAAACUGAAAGGAACCAAGCAACAUCAGCUAUUGCCAAAUUCAUCGGACAAUUUAAUUUUUUACAUGAAAACGGUUGUGCGGAUUUAUGUGCAACUUUCAGUGAAUUUUCUCUAUACUACAAAGCAAAUUCCUGAAAAUGUUCAAAAGAAUAAGCACAAUUGUUCUCGAUUAAAAAUUAAUUUUCCCCGUUAAAUUUGGCAAUAGCUGAUGUAGCUUGGUUCCUUUCUGUUAAACGCAGUCCAAUUGUUUGAAUCCAAUUUUUCAAAAUCAGCUCAUGUAAGUAGUGCAUGCUCAGCUUGCAGUUACUCAGUUGCAAUGUUAUUUUCUGUAGUAGUUAGCUAUAUGUGAGUCAGCUUUCAAUGUAAUCUUAUUCAUUAGCAAUAACGGUAUGAUUUUGCCAGUCCACGAUGGCAGCAAAUUAUCACAGAUAUAAUGUCAGCUGUUUUUUACGAACAACUCUUUGACAAACACUCCUGACCAUCAUUUUUCUCCAUAGAACCUGGGCCAUAAGAAUUGUUUACAAGUUUUCUCUACAUACCUGUCAUGAAAGUUAACGGCAUGAACAUAAAAAUGUGUCCUUUGCAUCCGCAUAAUUUUCUCCGUUCAAACAAAAGUGUAAUUCUCAUAUAACAAUAGUUGUCCCUUGCAUUGUGUUCUCUCCACUUUUUAAUGCGCCAACAGUUUGGAAUGUUCAAUGUUUCUCACACAUUUUCAUGGCAUCUUUGAUUCUAUUCGACAACAGAUCUAAUAUUAUAGUCACUAAAAGUUGCUCACUCGGUAGCUUGGCCUAGCAACUCAUCAAGCUCCCCAUGUGAUGAGUCACGAAAUGAAGUAAUGUUUUGUUUUUUUCCUGCUGAUACUGAUCAUUAAUUUAGUAAAGCCAUUUUCUCUUAAAUGUCAGCAUCCUUUUUUAAUGUAAGUCUUGUGUAAUGUGUCACCAAAAUUUUCAGGCUACGUGAUUGCUUUGGAUUUUCGGAUUCGCACAAAGCCAUAGAAUGGACAUAGACAGCAGCAUUCAGCCUUUCGAAGCUAAUAUUUUAAAGGAAUAUGAACGCCUUGAAUAAGCCAGAGGUAUAAAGCAACUCACACCCCCAACGAAUUUCCAAGGUAUAUGAUAAUAUUUUUAUGUUGCUGUUUUCUAACUGUAUCAACUGCUUUUUAUGUUUUUCGCCCACUACAUGUGAAAUCAACUGCUUUUUAUGUUUUUCGCCCACUACAUGUGAAAUCUCUAAUAGCAUGUAAAUGUUGUCUUGUACGUUGUGUUAAUGAAUGUAUGUGUCGUGUCUAAUUUUAUAGAAGAAAUGAAACCGGUCAAUGUUCUAAAUCUUCUUAUUCCUGCAGCAUUUUAAUAGUGAAGCCCCCACUGACGGCUCAAAAACUAAACUUAAAAGAACACUGCCUGUCACUGUUUGCACGACGCAUCCAACCUCCUCGUAAAAAAUAUUCUACAAAUUGGAUAUUAAGCAACACAAUUUCUUGAAUGCAUCCAUGUAUAUUAUUCGUAGUUUUUCUUCUUGAUGUAAUGGAUAGGUAUUCUGCAAACAUUUUAUGGAAUGAAAUUGAUUUGUUUUCUUUGGAAAAAAUACAUAUGCAGACAUUUUGGAACACUGCAGUCAAGAUACAUGGUUUUCAGUUUCACAAUGGAGUUACGAAAACAAAUAUUAAUGAAAGUUGUCUUGUCCAUACCACUCAGUGUAUAUUCAUUUACUUAGUGUCUGUUCUAUCCUCAAUGAGACACUAUAGUAAAAAUAUGUACUUAUCUCAUUUUCAUUUGCUGUGACAUUCAAAAAUGUCGCUCACUCUAGUGCCUCCGUGCUCUGAGGCAGACCUUUUCAUUUGGGCAGACACUUCUUAUAAAUAUUAUGUAGU
This 2562-nucleotide long non-coding RNA is filed under the name Bemisia tabaci. Its description in RNAcentral is "lncRNA ENSSSA1UGG002042". Lineage: Eukaryota; Metazoa; Arthropoda; Insecta; Hemiptera; Aleyrodidae. The record is from RNAcentral.